Molecule: long non-coding RNA, 152 nt
Organism: Trematomus bernacchii (emerald rockcod)
Lineage: Eukaryota; Metazoa; Chordata; Actinopteri; Perciformes; Nototheniidae
Exons: 3
Source: RefSeq, a predicted model, not a curated record
CUCGGAACCAUUUUGCGUCUUGUCGUCUCUUUUUGUGUUCCUGAGAAAGCGUGUGAGCUCCAGCUGAUCCAUGGAGCGCCCCCUGCUGUCCGCGGUGCUCCAGCCUCAGCUCCAGGUCCACAGAGCAGACGUCCAGCAGCUGCUGGUUAAAG